CCUACGGGAGGCAGCAGUCGAGAAUCAUUCACAAUGGGGGAAACCCUGAUGGUGCGACGCCGCGUGGGGGAAUGAAGGUCUUCGGAUUGUAAACCCCUGUCAUGUGGGAGCAAAUUAAAAAGAUAGUACCACAAGAGGAAGAGACGGCUAACUCUGUGCCAGCAGCCGCGGUAAUACAGAGGUCUCAAGCGUUGUUCGGAAUCACUGGGCGUAAAGCGUGCGUAGGCUGUUUCGUAAGUCGUGUGUGAAAGGCGAGGGCUCAACCCGCGGACGGCACAUGAUACUGCGAGACUAGAGUAAUGGAGGGGGAACCGGAAUUCUCGGUGUAGCAGUGAAAUGCGUAGAUAUCGAGAGGAACACUCGUGGCGAAGGCGGGUUCCUGGACAUUAACUGACGCUGAGGCACGAAGGCCAGGGGAGCGAAAGGGAUUAGAUACCCCAGUAGUC
RNAcentral lists this ribosomal RNA (446 nucleotides) under uncultured bacterium. RNAcentral describes it as "partial 16S ribosomal RNA". It matches the Rfam family "Bacterial small subunit ribosomal RNA", at positions 338 to 795 of the family's 1533-position model. The record is from RNAcentral.